CCUACGGGAGGCAGCAGUGAGGAAUAUUGGACAAUGGGCGCGAGCCUGAACCAGCGAAGCAGCGUGAAGGAUGACUGCCCUACGGGUUGUAAACUUCUUUUAUAAAGGAAUAAAGUGAGGCACGUGAGCCUUUUUGUACGUACUUUAUGAAUAAGGAUCGGCUAACUCCGGGCCAGCAGCCGCGGUAAUACGGAGGAUCCGAGCGUUAUCCGGAUUUAUUGGGUUUAAAGGGAGCGUAGAUGGGGAGUCAAGUCAGUUGUGAAAGUUUGGGGCUCAACCGUAAAAUUGCAAUUGAUACUGGCAGCCUAGAGUACAGGUGAGGUAGGCGGAAUUCGUGGUGUAGCGGUGAAAUGCUUAGAUAGCAGGAAGAACUCCGAUGGCGAAGGCAGCUUACUAAACUGCCACUGACAUUGAUGCUCGAAAGUGUGGGGAUCAAACAGGAUUAGAUACCCCAGUAGUC
Molecule: ribosomal RNA, 460 nt
Filed under: uncultured bacterium
Lineage: Bacteria
Description: partial 16S ribosomal RNA
Rfam family: Bacterial small subunit ribosomal RNA
Source: RNAcentral